Molecule: ribosomal RNA, 424 nt
Filed under: uncultured bacterium
Lineage: Bacteria
Description: bacterial SSU rRNA
Rfam family: Bacterial small subunit ribosomal RNA
Source: RNAcentral
UGGGGAAUAUUGGACAAUGGGCGCAAGCCUGAUCCAGCAAUGCCGCGUGUGUGAAGAAGGUCUUCGGAUUGUAAAGCACUUUCGACGGGGACGAUGAUGACGGUACCCGUAGAAGAAGCCCCGGCUAACUUCGUGCCAGCAGCCGCGGUAAUACGAAGGGGGCUAGCGUUGCUCGGAAUGACUGGGCGUAAAGGGCGCGUAGGCGGUUUGUACAGUUGGGCGUGAAAUUCCUGGGCUUAACCUGGGGGCUGCGUUCAAUACGUGCGGACUUGAGUUCGGAAGAGGGUCGUGGAAUUCCCAGUGUAGAGGUGAAAUUCGUAGAUAUUGGGAAGAACACCGGUGGCGAAGGCGGCGACCUGGUCCGAUACUGACGCUGAGGCGCGAAAGCGUGGGGAGCAAACAGGAUUAGAUACCCCCGUAGUCC